RNAcentral lists this ribosomal RNA (406 nucleotides) under uncultured bacterium. Its description in RNAcentral is "partial 16S ribosomal RNA". It matches the Rfam family "Bacterial small subunit ribosomal RNA", at positions 30 to 526 of the family's 1533-position model. The record is from RNAcentral.
AUCGAACGCUGGCGGCAGGCUUAACACAUGCAAGUAGAGCGAGUGGCGGACGGGUGCGUAAUGUCUGGGAAACUGCCUGCUGGCGGGGGAUAACUACUGGAAACGGUAGCUAAUACCGCAUACCAUAAGUUGUUCCCAGAUGGGUUUAGCUAGUAGGUGGGGUAAUGGCGCACCUAGGCGACGAUCCCUAGCUGGUCUGAGAGGGUGACCAGCCACAAUGGAACUGAGACACGGUCCAGACUCCUACGGGAGGCAGCAGUGGGGAAUAUUGCACAAUGGGCGCAAGCCUGAUGCAGCCAUGCCGCGUGUGUGAAGAAGGCCUUCGGGUUGUAAAGCACUUUCAGCGAGGAGGCGUUACCAGCAGAAGAAGCACCGGCUAACUCCGUGCCAGCAGCCGCGGUAAUAC